RNAcentral lists this ribosomal RNA (417 nucleotides) under uncultured eukaryote. RNAcentral describes it as "bacterial SSU rRNA". It matches the Rfam family "Eukaryotic small subunit ribosomal RNA", at positions 592 to 1018 of the family's 1831-position model. The record is from RNAcentral.
CAGUAGCGUAUAUUAAUGUUGUUGCAGUUAAAAGCUCGUAGUUGGAUUUCUAGCCGACAUGCGUGGUCCGUUGUACUUAGUAUGAUGAGUACCGCAGCGUGUCGUCUAUCCUAUCAGUUUGCUUGGGCUCCGGCCCGACUGACUGGUUCUUUUACUUUGAAAAAUUAGAGUGUUUAAAGCAGGCUUGCGCAAUUGAAUACAUUAGCAUGGAAUAAUAACAUAGGACUUCGGUCUCUAUUUUGUUGGUUUCUGGAACUGAAGUAAUGAUUGAUAGGGAUAGUUGGGGGUGCUAGUAUUGAGCGGCCAGAGGUGAAAUUCUCGGAUUCGCUCAAGACUAACUUAUGCGAAAGCAUUCACCAAGGAUGUCUUCUUUAAUCAAGAACGAAAGUUGGGGGAUCGAAGAUGAUCAGAUACCAU